AUACGGAGGGUGCGAGCGUUAAUCGGAAUUACUGGGCGUAAAGCGUACGUAGGCGGUUGGUUAAGUUAGAUGUGAAAGCCCCGGGCUUAACCUGGGAACUGCAUUUAAAACUGGCGAACUAGAGUUGAGUAGAGGGGAGUGGAAUUUCAGGUGUAGCGGUGAAAUGCGUAGAGAUCUGAAGGAACACCAGUGGCGAAGGCGACUCCCUGGACUAGAACUGACGCUGAGGUACGAAAGCGUGGGUAGCAAACAGGAUUAGAUACCCUAGUAGUCC
Molecule: ribosomal RNA, 274 nt
Filed under: uncultured bacterium
Lineage: Bacteria
Description: partial 16S ribosomal RNA
Rfam family: Bacterial small subunit ribosomal RNA
Source: RNAcentral